UGGUCCUGAUCUGUUGGGAUUUGCUGC
This 27-nucleotide non-coding RNA is filed under the name Mus musculus (house mouse). The record is from RNAcentral. Lineage: Eukaryota; Metazoa; Chordata; Mammalia; Rodentia; Muridae.